Long non-coding RNA from Oncorhynchus tshawytscha (Chinook salmon), 879 nucleotides. Lineage: Eukaryota; Metazoa; Chordata; Actinopteri; Salmoniformes; Salmonidae. The record is from Ensembl.
CGGGCAGGAGCGCGCUAGUGAAAACGAUCGCAACACGCGGGGGGAGUCGGAAUAGCUAAUCAGAUCGUCAAUGCAGUGCGGGGGGGCGUGGCAUGUAAGUAACCGGUAAACACAGAACUCCGCUCGAAACACGCACAACGGAGGUGAGAAAGAUAGACGUCCAGACAGAAUUGCGUUGUUCAGCGCGUCUACUAAGCACAAGCAACAGCAGCAAGAGGCAGGAUAAACGCCUCUGCCGAAUGAAUUCUGAGUACCAAGUCAUUCAUUAUUGACCAGGUGUCACUACAACUUGUCCUCUUCUGGCUGUGCUGGGGGAGAGGAACCAGGCUCUGCGGGGUGACCAGUCCUCUUCUGGCUGUGCUGGGAGAAGAUAAGAGUACAUGGCCAUUUUUGUUAAAGCCAGAACGUUCAAGAUGUUCAAACGUAAAUAGACUCUCAGCAGGGUCAGAUCUCAAAUUAUCUCAUUCUAAAAUCUGACCUCUCCACUGGGGGGGGGGGACAAACUGAUGCGACACCUAUCUAUUGUUGUGACUUCCUGAACCUACCAUUUGGUAUUGAAACCAAACCAUACGAUUUUAAUGAAAGAUAUUUUAAUGAACAUGAACAUGUGAGUGUAAGAAGCACACAUUUCAAAUAGUCUACAUAUCAUAUUAAACAGCAUAUAGACACACUAAAUAGGUUGGAAGCCAGACAGGGAGCCUAAGAAGGAACUAAAAUGUUUUAAUUCAGUUUCAAGGCUAUAACCCACGAAAAAAUACUUUGAAGCAUUAGUGAUUGUGACACAGUAGCCUGUUAAGGACAUAAAGCGCUCAGUAUUUAAACAUUUUGUUGUGUUGUCAUUAUAGUCUAUACAUUUCACAUCUAGACUGUGACUUAGAA